GUGAGGACUCGGGAGGUGGAGGGU
RNAcentral lists this non-coding RNA (24 nucleotides) under Pan troglodytes (chimpanzee). RNAcentral also lists the same sequence under 2 other names. Lineage: Eukaryota; Metazoa; Chordata; Mammalia; Primates; Hominidae. The record is from miRBase by way of RNAcentral.